This 31-nucleotide non-coding RNA is filed under the name Homo sapiens (human). Lineage: Eukaryota; Metazoa; Chordata; Mammalia; Primates; Hominidae. The record is from RNAcentral.
GGCACAAGAUGGAAGGGACCUGGGUCCUGGU